This 567-nucleotide ribosomal RNA is filed under the name uncultured bacterium. Its description in RNAcentral is "bacterial SSU rRNA". It matches the Rfam family "Bacterial small subunit ribosomal RNA", at positions 89 to 652 of the family's 1533-position model. The record is from RNAcentral.
UGGCGAGUGGCGAACGGGUGAGUAAUAUAUCGGAACGUACCCUAGAGUGGGGGAUAACGUAGCGAAAGUUACGCUAAUACCGCAUACGAUCUAAGGAUGAAAGUGGGGGAUCACAAGACCUCAUGCUCGUGGAGCGGCCGAUAUCUGAUUAGCUAGUUGGUAGGGUAAAAGCCUACCAAGGCAUCGAUCAGUAGCUGGUCUGAGAGGACGACCAGCCACACUGGAACUGAGACACGGUCCAGACUCCUACGGGAGGCAGCAGUGGGGAAUUUUGGACAAUGGGCGAAAGCCUGAUCCAGCAAUGCCGCGUGAGUGAAGAAGGCCUUCGGGUUGUGAAGCUCUUUUGUCAGGGAAGAAACGGUGAGAGCUAAUAUCUCUUGCUAAUGACGGUACCUGAAGAAUAAGCACCGGCUAACUACGUGCCAGCAGCCGCGGUAAUACGUAGGGUGCAAGCGUUAAUCGGAAUUACUGGGCGUAAAGCGUGCGCAGGCGGUUUUGUAAGUCUGAUGUGAAAUCCCCGGGCUCAACCUGGGAAUUGCAUUGGAGACUGCAAGGCUAGAAUCUGGC